RNAcentral lists this ribosomal RNA (42 nucleotides) under Chryseobacterium jejuense. The record is from RNAcentral. Lineage: Bacteria; Pseudomonadati; Bacteroidota; Flavobacteriia; Flavobacteriales; Weeksellaceae.
CCGAUGGUACUGCUAACGCGGGAGAGUAGGCCGCCGCCAGUU